AACACAACAACUCAGAAACUUCAGUUUUGUGUCUUUAUCCCAUCCUCUCAACUCUCUCUAUAAAUAAGAUUACAAGUGCAUGCAUGUCUAUCUAUAUUUCAACAUCACAAAUAUAAAAGAAAGAACAGAAUUAAAGAGAUCGAGGAGGAAGAAGAACGUAAUUUGAAGAUACUUAAGGAGUUGGAGACUCAGAUCAUGUCCCCAACCGAAAAAGGUACGCAACAUCCGUCUACAAGUAUCAACGAGCCAAUUCUUGGGGAUGAUGUCCCAAAGGCUUCAGAUAAGGGGGACCUUCUUUCCGCCCAACGGGAAAGGGAAACAUGGAACCAUCUGAUGACGAUGAUGAGAAGAAGACCAAUGAAGGAGAGAGCAGCAAGUCUGGUGGUGUGGAUGAUGCCUAAUGAAGCAGCCGUCGAAUAAUAAAAUUAAUGUUGUCUUGAAAUAAAGUUGUUGUUGUGUCUUUCCAUGCACAUUUCGUAUUUCGAGUUUUUGUUAAUUUGGUCAAGCGACGGUCAUGUUUGUUGUUGUGUCUCAAACCUAAAUAAUGGAAUGUUUAUUUGCUAAUAUAUGGAAAACUAUGAAAAUCUAAUGCAUAUCUUAUUUGCUUAA
Long non-coding RNA from Brassica napus (rape), 609 nucleotides. RefSeq lists it as uncharacterized. The record is from RefSeq and is a predicted model, not a curated record. The transcript has 2 exons. NCBI's taxonomy places the organism in Eukaryota, Viridiplantae, Streptophyta, Magnoliopsida, Brassicales, Brassicaceae.